RNAcentral lists this ribosomal RNA (500 nucleotides) under uncultured bacterium. RNAcentral describes it as "bacterial SSU rRNA". It matches the Rfam family "Bacterial small subunit ribosomal RNA", at positions 355 to 873 of the family's 1533-position model. The record is from RNAcentral.
UGGGGAAUCUUGCGCAAUGGGCGAAAGCCUGACGCAGCCAUGCCGCGUGAAUGAUGAAGGUCUUAGGAUUGUAAAAUUCUUUCAGUAGGGACGAUAAUGACGGUACCUACAGAAGAAGCCCCGGCUAACUUCGUGCCAGCAGCCGCGGUAAUACGAAGGGGGCUAGCGUUGCUCGGAAUUACUGGGCGUAAAGGGAGCGUAGGCGGACAUUUAAGUCAGGGGUGAAAUCCCGGGGCUCAACCUCGGAAUUGCCUUUGAUACUGGGUGUCUUGAGUGUGAGAGAGGUAUGUGGAACUCCGAGUGUAGAGGUGAAAUUCGUAGAUAUUCGGAAGAACACCAGUGGCGAAGGCGACAUACUGGCUCAUUACUGACGCUGAGGCUCGAAAGCGUGGGGAGCAAACAGGAUUAGAUACCCUGGUAGUCCACGCCGUAAACGAUGAUUGCUAGUUGUCGGGAUGCAUGCAUUUCGGUGACGCAGCUAACGCAUUAAGCAWUCCGCC